AGGACGUUAGCUCAGUUGGUUAGAGCAUCUGACUUUUAAUCAGAGGGUCCUGGGUUCGAGUCCCAGACGUCCUA
RNAcentral lists this transfer RNA (74 nucleotides) under Pseudomonas phage PaBG. It matches the Rfam family "tRNA". From Rfam's summary of the family: Transfer RNA (tRNA) molecules are approximately 80 nucleotides in length. Their secondary structure includes four short double-helical elements and three loops (D, anti-codon, and T loops). The record is from Rfam by way of RNAcentral. Lineage: Duplodnaviria; Heunggongvirae; Uroviricota; Caudoviricetes.